GAGGAUAUAGCUCAAGUGGUAGAGUGCUUGCUUAGCAUGCAUGAGAUCUGGGGUUCAAUCUCAGGUACCUUCU
RNAcentral lists this transfer RNA (73 nucleotides) under Camelus bactrianus (Bactrian camel). It matches the Rfam family "tRNA". Rfam says of the family: Transfer RNA (tRNA) molecules are approximately 80 nucleotides in length. Their secondary structure includes four short double-helical elements and three loops (D, anti-codon, and T loops). Further hydrogen bonds mediate the characteristic L-shaped molecular structure. tRNAs have two regions of fundamental functional importance: the anti-codon, which is responsible for specific mRNA codon recognition, and the 3' end, to which the tRNAs corresponding amino acid is attached (by aminoacyl-tRNA synthetases). tRNAs cope with the degeneracy of the genetic code in two manners: having more than one tRNA (with a specific anti-codon) for a particular amino acid; and 'wobble' base-pairing, i.e. permitting non-standard base-pairing at the 3rd anti-codon position. Lineage: Eukaryota; Metazoa; Chordata; Mammalia; Artiodactyla; Camelidae. The record is from Rfam by way of RNAcentral. RNAcentral also lists the same sequence under 2 other names.